RNAcentral lists this ribosomal RNA (275 nucleotides) under uncultured bacterium. RNAcentral describes it as "partial 16S ribosomal RNA". It matches the Rfam family "Bacterial small subunit ribosomal RNA", at positions 399 to 691 of the family's 1533-position model. The record is from RNAcentral.
GCGUGAGUGAAGAAGGCCUUAGGGUUGUAAAGCUCUUUCGCUAGGGAAGAUAAUGACGGUACCUAGUAAAGAAGUCCCGGCUAACUCCGUGCCAGCAGCCGCGGUAAUACGGAGGGGACUAGCGUUGUUCGGAAUUACUGGGCGUAAAGAGUACGUAGGCUGUUUGUCAAGUUGGGUGUGAAAGCCCGGGGCUCAACCCCGGAACUGCACUCAAAACUGAUAGACUAGAGAUCGGAAGAGGUAAGUGGAAUUCCCAGUGUAGAGGUGAAAUUCGU